RNAcentral lists this ribosomal RNA (253 nucleotides) under uncultured bacterium. RNAcentral's name for it is "partial 16S ribosomal RNA". It matches the Rfam family "Bacterial small subunit ribosomal RNA", at positions 524 to 776 of the family's 1533-position model. The record is from RNAcentral.
UACGAAGGGGGCUAGCGUUGCUCGGAAUCACUGGGCGUAAAGCGCACGUAGGCGGCUUCUUAAGUCAGGGGUGAAAUCCUGGAGCUCAACUCCAGAACUGCCUUUGAUACUGAGGAGCUCGAGUCCGGGAGAGGUGAGUGGAACUCCGAGUGUAGAGGUGAAAUUCGUAGAUAUUCGGAAGAACACCAGUGGCGAAGGCGGCACUCUGGGCCGUGACUGACGCUGAGGAGCGAAAGCGUGGGUAGCAAACAGG